GCAAGUCGAACGGCAGCAUGGAGAGCUUGCUCUCUGAUGGCGAGUGGCGAACGGGUGAGUAAUAUAUCGGAACGUGCCCAGUAAUGGGGAAUAACUAAUUGAAAGAUUAGCUAAUACCACAUACGACCUACGGGUGAAAGCAGGGGAUCUUCGGACCUUGCGUUAUUGGAGCGGCCGAUAUCUGAUUAGCUAGAUGGUGGGGUAAUAGCCUACCAUGGCGACGAUCAGUAGCUGGUCUGAGAGGACGACC
This 250-nucleotide ribosomal RNA is filed under the name uncultured bacterium. RNAcentral describes it as "partial 16S ribosomal RNA". It matches the Rfam family "Bacterial small subunit ribosomal RNA", at positions 57 to 305 of the family's 1533-position model. The record is from RNAcentral.